GAUGAACGCUGGCGGCGUGCCUAAUACAUGCAAGUAGAACGCUGAAGGAAGGAGCUUGCUCUUUCCGGAUGAGUUGCGAACGGGUGAGUAACGCGUAGGUAACCUGCCUGGUAGCGGGGGAUAACUAUUGGAAACGAUAGCUAAUACCGCAUAACAGUAGAUGUUGCAUGAUAUCUACUUAAAAGGUGCAAUUGCACCACUACCAGAUGGACCUGCGUUGUAUUAGCUAGUUGGUGAGGUAACGGCUCACCAAGGCGACGAUACAUAGCCGACCUGAGAGGGUGAUCGGCCACACUGGGACUGGGACACGGCCCAGACUCCUACGGGAGGCAGCAGUAGGGGAUCUUCGGCAAAGGACGGAAGGCUGACCGAGCAAAGCCGCGUGAGUGAAGAAGGUUUUCGGAUCGUAAAGCUCUGUUGUAAGGGAAGAACGAGUGUGAGAGUGGAAAGUUCACACUGUGACGGUAUCUAACCAGAAAGGGACGGCUAACUACGUG
Molecule: ribosomal RNA, 497 nt
Filed under: uncultured bacterium
Lineage: Bacteria
Description: partial 16S ribosomal RNA
Rfam family: Bacterial small subunit ribosomal RNA
Source: RNAcentral